UUAGUUUUUUUUUGUGGGUUUACUUUUUUUUUACCGUUCUUCAAGGUAGUCCACCACCACCACACUAUGAGGAUACGUGACUUGUGUAUUUUUCCACCACCUCACCUACCACUAGAGAUGCACAAACCCAGGAUCCGAUCCGGUCAACAAUUCGAUCUGGUCCAAUCCGAUCCGAAUCUGGUCAACAAUCCGAAUCCGAUUUGAAACCGGUUUGAUCCGGAUUUUGUUAGCUUUUGCCAGAUUUUUCGACGGUUUAAGAACUGGUUUUUGUAGAAUCCGGUUUGUGAUCCGGGGGUCAAUCCGAUUUCGAGUCCGAAAAGCCAAACCGGUUUGAAUCCGGUCUCCGAUUUAAUCCGAUUCGGUUUGGUCAAAACCGGUUUUGACCAAAAACCGGAUUUCGGAUCGGAUCGGUUUCAUUUCGAGGAUCCGGAUUCUGUGUGCAUCUCUACCUACCACUCCUAUUAUGACAUCUUCAUGUUCCACCGCCUACUUCUCUCCAUCUAUUACGUCUUUCUCACCGUAAGGGUCAGUUAGUGUUCCUGGUCGAAUCAACGAUAAAACCCCACCGCUACCUACUCUUAUCUCUGUUGUUUAUAUUAACUUCUAUGGAGUUAAUCCCAUGUUCGAAUGUCCAUUGUCUUCGUCUUCCUCUGUGUCUUCUCAUUUCCCCCAAUUGACCAACAAAUCGUUUCCUCAGGCGUUGUGCUUUUCUCUUCUUUUGUUCAACAUCACUGAUAGUUUAAUCUUCUCCAUAUUGGUCGCUGUUUCCAAACUCCUCCCAAACCUCUCAUGUUUGUCGAUCAUUUUUAGUGAAGUCGGCGCCACCUUUACCCAAUUGAUCUUCACAAUAGAACACCACCUAGAGUAACGGUUGCGAUCACCGGAAAGUGCAACGGUGGUUGUUAUUUUUCUUGGGAAAGAAACAGAUAGAGACUAAAGAUUACUUGAUUAUUCUCUUACCUGAUGUUUAAUUUUCCGGAAAUCUCACUGUCUUAUGGUAUGAUUGGUGCUUUCAGGUCCUGUGGGUAUAAGCAGAAAGCUUGCUAUUUUAUUUCGGAUCUCAGUAGCUUACAUGGAAAAACAAAGAUCAGUUUGAAAUGAUUUGAUUUCCAAUAUACAAAUAAAGAUCAUAGUCAAAUAAUUCCAUUGGUCAAGAGUAUAAUAAUAGAAGAAGCAAAUAACUUCUCAUAGCCUCCUCUUAUCAUGGGGUCUUUUAUUCUACCAAUUAGUUUGAUCCUGAAGGAUUUAGUACACAUUUUCUUCCUACUAACUUUAACAAAUUUCCAUUUUCUUUUAUCUCAAUCCUUUUAAUUAUUCUAAAUGGUUUUUAAAAUUAAAGGAAAACAAGGAAUAACUAGCGGUUUCUGUUGUUUUUGGUUACAACCUUCGUGAAAAUAUUGCAUCCCUCUUCCAUUUCUUUGGUGAGAAUAAUAAGAGAAGCUCUUUCUAAAGUGUACUGGAAUUCAACUUCUGAAACAAAUCAAUGAUAAUUUUCAUAUAUUUGGUUCUUAUUAUGAUUAUAGCUUAAAAUUUUAUAUAUUACCAAAUGAUUUUUUAUAAAAUAAAUAUUUCAGGUGCGAAAUAUACCUCAUGGGCUUCCUCUAUAACUGUAAUAUUAUAUUUCUCUAAAGUUAGUUGUAAUUAUUAACUUUUUUUUUCAAACAUGCAAAUGAUUAGAUGUCUUUAAUUUAAGAAUCUAUGGGGAUUGCUAAAGCUUUGGGAGCAAAUAGAUAUGAAUUGGACCGUUAUUUGACCGUGGUGUCUAUUGUUGAUCUUUUAACACACUAAAUACCAAUGUACUUUCCAUUUACAUGUUUUUGUUUAUGCAUCUUCUCAAGAAAAGAAAUGGGAAUUUUUCA
Molecule: long non-coding RNA, 1859 nt
Organism: Lactuca sativa (garden lettuce)
Lineage: Eukaryota; Viridiplantae; Streptophyta; Magnoliopsida; Asterales; Asteraceae
Source: RefSeq, a predicted model, not a curated record